AAAGCUCAUUGCUUUAGUGCUGGUAGAUGCUGCUUAUUUUUCAAGACGGUUUUAAUAGCUUUAUAUUGAUUUGUAACAAAGCCAGCUUCACUUUGAGAGAACCUACAUGCUAAUUGUAAAGAAGCUUGGAUUCAUAAUAUAUUUUAACGUAAUAUGUUUGCUGUUCUUCAUCUUUUUAAAUAUGAAGUCUAUCCAUGUUUGUGUUUACAGAGGUCAUGUACACUGUGGUCAACUUUGUGGACGCUGAAGAGGUUUCUGGAGAAAUAUAAUGAAGUAACAGUGGAAGCUAAAACAUCAGACUGAUCCAGACACUGAAGAAAUUGAUGUCACUGCAAUCUGGCCAAAAUGAUACAACUAUAUUGAAGUAGCCUACUGUAAUGAAGCUGCAGAACAACACAGAGACUCUGAGGACAUCAACACAGAAAAUCAAGGCUCCAAAGAGAUGUCUGUCCAGAUGAGAGUGCAUCAACGUUACCUUUGCUGACAAGUAUAUGCUUUUAGCAGUUAACUUAAACCAUU
Non-coding RNA from Misgurnus anguillicaudatus (oriental weatherfish), 519 nucleotides. The record is from RefSeq and is a predicted model, not a curated record. NCBI's taxonomy places the organism in Eukaryota, Metazoa, Chordata, Actinopteri, Cypriniformes, Cobitidae.